AACGAACGCUAGCAGCGUGGAUUAGGCAUGCAAGUCGUGCGCGAACGUCUUCGGACAAGUAGAGCGGCGAAAGGGUGAGUAACACGUAACCAACGUACCCUUCAGAUCGGGAUAGCCACUGGAAACGGUGGGUAAUACCGAAUGGACCUCGGAGUGGCAUCACUCCAUAGGUAAACGGUGGCUUCGGCUGCUGCUGAGGGAGCGGGUUGCGGCCUAUCAGUUUGUUGGUGGGGUAACGGCCUACCAAGACAAUGACGGGUAGCGGGUCUGAGAGGAUGAUCCGUCACACUGGGACUGAGACACUGCCCAGACUCCUACGGGAGGCUGCAGUCGAGAAUCUUCCACAAUGGGCGAAAGCCUGAUGGAGCGACGCUGCGUGCAGGAUGAAGGCCUUAGGGUUGUAAACUGCUGUCACGCUAUAGGAACCCACGGUGGUGAAUAGUCAUCGUGCUGACCAAAGCGAGAGGAAGUGCCGGCUAACUCCG
This 485-nucleotide ribosomal RNA is filed under the name uncultured Planctomycetota bacterium. RNAcentral's name for it is "bacterial SSU rRNA". It matches the Rfam family "Bacterial small subunit ribosomal RNA", at positions 29 to 505 of the family's 1533-position model. The record is from RNAcentral. Lineage: Bacteria; Pseudomonadati; Planctomycetota.